UACGUAGGGCGCAAGCGUUGUCCGGAAUUAUUGGGCGUAAAGAGCUCGUAGGCGGCUUGUCACGUCGAUUGUGAAAGCCCGAGGCUUAACCUCGGGUCUGCAGUCGAUACGGGCUAGCUAGAGUGUGGUAGGGGAGAUCGGAAUUCCUGGUGUAGCGGUGAAAUGCGCAGAUAUCAGGAGGAACACCGGUGGCGAAGGCGGAUCUGUGGGCCAUUACUGACGCUGAGGAGCGAAAGCGUGGGGAGCGAACAGG
This 253-nucleotide ribosomal RNA is filed under the name uncultured bacterium. Its description in RNAcentral is "partial 16S ribosomal RNA". It matches the Rfam family "Bacterial small subunit ribosomal RNA", at positions 524 to 776 of the family's 1533-position model. The record is from RNAcentral.